This 931-nucleotide unclassified non-coding RNA is filed under the name Hevea brasiliensis (rubber tree). Lineage: Eukaryota; Viridiplantae; Streptophyta; Magnoliopsida; Malpighiales; Euphorbiaceae. The record is from RNAcentral.
AAAAUGGGUCAGGGAACUCCAGGAGGUCUGAACCGGCAAGCCCCCGGCGACCGGAAGUCCGACGCCGAUAAAAAGAAAGACAAGAAGUAUGAACCGGCGGCGCCGCCGACUCGAGUUGGCCGCAAACAGCGGAAGCAGAAAGGUCCGGAGGCUGCUGCUCGGCUUCCGACGGUUACGCCUCUCACAAAGUGCAGGCUGAGGCUUCUGAAGCUCGAACGUGUGAAGGAUUACCUGUUAAUGGAGGAGGAAUUUGUCACUAAUCAGGAGCGCCUUAAGCCGCAAGAGGAGAAGGCGGAGGAGGAUCGCUCUAAGGUCGAUGAUCUGAGAGGAUCUCCCAUGAGUGUUGGAAAUUUGGAGGAGUUGAUUGAUGAGAAUCAUGCCAUCGUUUCCUCUUCUGUUGGACCGGAGUAUUACGUUGGUAUUAUGUCUUUUGUUGAUAAAGAUCAGCUUGAGCCUGGGUGUGCAAUUUUGAUGCAUAAUAAGGUACUUUCUGUUGUUGGACUUCUUCAAGAUGAGGUUGAUCCAAUGGUGUCUGUGAUGAAAGUUGAGAAGGCCCCUUUAGAGUCAUAUGCUGAUAUUGGUGGAUUGGAUGCUCAAAUACAAGAGAUUAAAGAAGCUGUUGAGUUGCCAUUGACUCAUCCUGAGUUAUAUGAGGACAUAGGUAUUAGGCCUCCUAAAGGUGUGAUACUCUAUGGGGAGCCAGGAACAGGCAAGACUUUGCUUGCAAAGGCAGUGGCAAACUCAACGUCAGCCACGUUCUUGCGUGUGGUUGGAAGUGAACUCAUCCAGAAAUACUUGGGAGAUGGUCCAAAGUUAGUGAGGGAACUCUUCAGGGUUGCUGAUGAUCUCUCACCUUCCAUUGUUUUUAUUGAUGAGAUCGAUGCUGUUGGCACAAAGAGGUAUGAUGCUCACUCUGGAGGUGAACGUGAGA